This 1018-nucleotide ribosomal RNA is filed under the name Dictyocoela sp. RNAcentral's name for it is "SSU rRNA". It matches the Rfam family "Microsporidia small subunit ribosomal RNA", at positions 153 to 1167 of the family's 1311-position model. Lineage: Eukaryota; Fungi; Microsporidia. The record is from RNAcentral.
CAGGAGAGUAAGAUGCCAUCCUAUCAGUUAGUAAGUAGGGUAAGGGCCUACUUAGACGAAGACGGGUACGGGGAAUGAGGGUUUGAUUCCGGAGAGGGAGCCUGAGAGAUGGCUACCAGGACCAAGGUCAGCAGCAGGCGCGAAAAUUAUCGAAGCCCGCCUAGGGGCGAUAGUGAGGAGACGUGUAUAACGAAGUACGUGUAAAGAACGUGCUAAUAACUGGAGGUCAAGUCUGGUGCCAGCAUCCGCGGUAAUUCCAGCUCCAGGGGUGUCUAUGAUGAUUGCUGCGAUUAAAAAGUCCGUAGUCAAUCUGACUGACUGGCCUGCAAUGUGAUUGAUUAAAGAACGAGCAGGGUUAGGAAAGCAGAGAAUCAGGAGCGACCGAGGGCUAGAGUAUUGAAUGGCGAGAGGUGAAAUUUGAUGACCCAUUCAGGAGUGACAAAGGCGAAGGCACUAGUCAAGGGCGAAUCCGAUGAUCAAGGACGUAGGCUAGAGUUUCGAAAACGAUUAGAGACCGGAGUAGUUCUAGCAGUAAACUAUGCCGACGCCGUGGUAUCAUUUUGGUAUUGCGGAAGAGAAAUCAAGUAAGGCUUUGGGGAGAGUACGCGCGCAAGCGAUAAAUUUAAAGGAAAUUGACGGAGGAACACCACAAGGAGUGGAGUGUGCGGCUUAAUUUGACUCAACGCGGGACAGCUUACCAGGCCCGAUAAUCGAGCGAGCGUAGUACGCGAUAGGUUAAAGAGUGGUGCAUGGCUGCUAUCGACAGUUGGGGUGACCUUAGGGUUAAUUCCGGCAAGUAGUGAGACCCCUGCAGAUAGUGGACAGGUAUUUUUAAAAUACAGGAAGGAAGGGACAAGAGCAGGUCAGUGAUGCCCUUAGAUGGCCUGGGCUGCACGCGCACUACAGUGGUCAUUAUAAGUAGAAGUUAGAUAUAAAGAUGAUCGAGAGGGACUGAGCUUUGUAAGAGGCUCACGAACGAGGAAUUGCUAGUAAUCGUAGGCUCAUUAAGAUACGAUGA